UGGGGAAUUUUGGACAAUGGGGGAAACCCUGAUCCAGCCAUCCCGCGUGUGCGAUGAAGGCCUUCGGGUUGUAAAGCACUUUUGGCAGGAAAGAAACGUCAUGGGUUAAUACCCCGUGAACCUGACGGUACCUGCAGAAUAAGCACCGGCUAACUACGUGCCAGCAGCCGCGGUAAUACGUAGGGUGCAAGCGUUAAUCGGAAUUACUGGGCGUAAAGCGUGCGCAGGCGGUUCGGAAAGAAAGAUGUGAAAUCCCAGAGCUCAACUUUGGAACUGCAUUUUUAACUACCGGGCUAGAGUGUGUGAGAGGGAGGUGGAAUUCCGCGUGUAGCAGUGAAAUGCGUAGAUAUGCGGAGGAACACCGAUGGCGAAGGCAGCCUCCUGGGAUAACACUGACGCUCAUGCACGAAAGCGUGGGGAGCAAACAGG
RNAcentral lists this ribosomal RNA (429 nucleotides) under Acidobacteriota bacterium. RNAcentral's name for it is "Acidobacteria bacterium partial 16S ribosomal RNA". It matches the Rfam family "Bacterial small subunit ribosomal RNA", at positions 355 to 776 of the family's 1533-position model. Lineage: Bacteria; Pseudomonadati; Acidobacteriota. The record is from RNAcentral.